GAGGCAGAGUGCAAUAUACAGAAAGAAAGAAAAAACAGGUUUGGCAGGCUCGUCUGUAAGGCGGAAAAAGGGAAUAUUGGCAGCACUUGAAGAUCGUUAGGUGGCGCUGCCUCAAAUACGGGGAACGAGGGGAAGACAGAAUAUCUCGACAAGGCCUUUCACAAUGUUUUGGAAAAAGGGGAGGAUGCAGUAUGGGAGCUCUUUUUCCUCUGGAGGCAAUCACUCACAACCCCUCCUCCACAUGGUUCUCCACUCGAGACCUGAGCUGCUUUUCAACUUCAUCUUGUCAAUACAGGGAUAAGGAGUCUGCCUGAAAGUUCAUUAAUUCCUGAGUAACCUAUGGCUGGUUAUUGCUAAUACCCAGUUCUAUUGAUGUUUUCUUUCCCAUGGAGUGAGCCAGGUUAACCCCUACACCCCACCCCAGCUUCCUGCCAGAAACAGCCCAUUGUCAAGCCUGCAUAAAACCAUAGAGAUGCACAAGGGGGCAUACAUGGGGCAUCAUUAUGCUACGACCCAGGGUAAGGGAAUGCUGGCACGGUUGAGUACCCAGGCCUACCUGUCCUGGGAGACUCUAUACUCUCAGCUCUUGCCUUACACAGCUUGUGGCCUGGGCAGGAUGUAUAGGCCCUUACCCCUGCAUGCCACCUAGGCCAUAAUUAUGGGUUUUUUGUUGUUUGUUUUCUUUUGUUUUGUUUUUUGUUUUGUUAUGGUCAAUGAAAAGAGAAGGGAAAGUAGGAUGGGUUCGGUUUAGCUGGGAAAGGGACGGAGAGGUGGGGGCUCUUUGUUUUAAGGGACAAUAGUGUCCACAGAGCCUAUGCAGGGAGGGCUUCUGUCACGCUGGCCUUAAGCACUUCCUCAGGGCCAUGUUUGCAUUUGCACAGUUGAUCAUUCUGUCAAAUCCACAACAUAUCCCUCUUUAAGAGACCAAAGCAAACAUUUUAGUAAAUUAAAAUAGUUUGAAACACUUUGACUGUUAGAUGCAUUUGAAUGCCUUUUUUGCAUUCAAUGCAGCAUAUUCAGAUGUUAAACAAAUGAGUCGCUUUGAAUACCACCAUUUCGCACAUUCUCAUUUCAAACCCACCAGAAUGUAGGAGAGACAAUAUGUAUGAAAAUGAGUUUUGAAUCCCAACUCCCUUUCUCUGAGGAAAAAAAAAACCCAAAAUGCUUUGUCCUGCACGCAGAAGAACUUAUCCUGUUUUGGGUGUGAUAGACAUGCAUUUUGGCUUUUGAAGAUCUCUGUUUUUGGAUGCAGAGACAUUUAAUAGUUUCCUGGCACGGUUGGCAUGGUUACCAGUGGGGAAAAGCAGUGACUUAAACCAUGUGACUGAAUCUGCCUGAACCUGCGAUAAUCUUUGGCCAAUCUCCGUAUUAACACUCAACUUCUGCUCGAAUUGUCUUCGUGACCCCGUCCCAGCCUUCCCGCACACGCUCCCUUUCCAGCGCCGCACAAAGGCUUUUGUAACAGGAUAAAUGGGCGCCCCUGGAAUCAUUUCCCAUCAAAGCCCUUUUAUUGCCAGACAUGUGGCAUUUGUCUUUUUAAUUUAAAAAAUGAAUAUAUCAAGCAGUCUGUGUUGACUGCCGAGAAUGUGCCGUGGUAGUUCGGCAUGAUGCGAAUGAUGAAAAUAUAGAUGAUGGUUUAGCGUUCUUCCGUGGCGAGCUUACUGGGCCAGAAAUGGCAUGUACAGCGUAUGUGAGCCAAAGCCUUUAACAACCCCUGCAAUGAUUAAAACACAAUAUUAAAAUGACAUGGGUGGUGGAAACUCAUUCUUGCUCUCUUCUCUUGAACCAAAGUCUGCGUAAUUUAUUACAGUGGCCUUUAUUGACCGGGUAACAUUAGCCAUUUUCAUUUCUUUAUAUAUGCUGAUUGCUGCAGCGUGACAGACAGUUUAAAUGAUCUCAGUUGCAAAGUGCAACAGCUAAGUGUGUUUGGGCAUAUUCAUGGUCACAUUUAUAGAGAAGGUGUGAGAUUUAUAUAAUCUUAAAAUAAAUCUGACCAUAUUUAAAGUAAUUUGUAACUUUGCACUUACUGAGUCAUGAUGUUUGCUGUCAGUCAGAUCUUAAAUGGCAGAAACAUGACAGUUCAAAGCCUGUACAACUCAAUCAAUGGUGUCACGGUGUUAGAGAUAAUGAAACAUGAAUAAAAUAGUGUAUGCGCGUAAUAUAAGAAUGUGCACAACUAUUAUUUUCAAAAUCGACUAGUCUGUUGUCUUAAAGGAGCCCUGUAUAAUCAGGCUGGUUUUGCCUGAUCCCGAUUGGAUGAGUUUCUUAAAGGGGCGUUUACAUAUUACAUGUUCUCGUGUUCAAAAACAGCUAGACAAAGCACAACGAGAUGGAAUGCAGUGGCCUCGAGACGCGUUUUUAAAGUUGUCUAUGUUAAACUUGACACGCUAUCUUAAAACCACAAAGCUCACUGUGAGAUGCUCCAAAAACAGUGCAAGACGCAACAGUCAAAGACAUCUCUCUGAAUAUCUAUGGCUGUACUAGAAGUGCUUUAAAAAGGGAAGAACUUCAACUUUUCCGUGAGGUCUGCAUUGUGCCAAUUUUCUAACAGCUAAAGCUUAACACGCUUAUCAAACUACCAUGGUUAAAAAUAUUAAUAAGUUCCUUAUACGUUUCACAAAAUUUCCAAUGUCCACUGUGUGGCGCUAAAAGCGAGCUAAAUUACCUCCCAAACAGAUUAAGGUUUAUGCUCAAGUAAAAAUUAAGCUGUAAAUCAACAAAACCUACUUUCCUUACUAUUACUUCCCUAAACCUUCAACCUAAAACUAACCGAUAGUGUUAAAAAAAAACAAAACAAAAAAAGCAGAUGUGAGAUUUAAAAAAAAAAAAAACAGAUGAGGUUUUGAAAGUUAAUACUGUAGGGCGUUUUAAAGCAACAUAACUGAACUCCCUACCCUACACUGUAAAUGAUUUUUGUUGUUUUGACAGUAUUAUUGCUGUAUUUCCAACUGCAUCUUACUGUAGAUACUGUUUACAGAAUGUUGCUGUCAAUUUUGUUGUUUUUACAGUAUUAUUGCUGUAUUUUCCACCAUGCCUUGCUGUAGAAACUGUUUACAGUAUGUUACUAUCAAACUGAGCUGUAUUUUUGGGGAAAAAAAUGAGCAGGAAAAUAAUUACAGUAAUUUACUUUUAAAUUGCAUGAGAACUGGCCCAAUCUCAAACCUGCACAUACACAAUUUAGAGGGAAAAUUUGUGGUAUUAUUCAGUGAUCUAUUAUCAAAAAGAUGAAACUCAGGAGAUGCCUUCUCUGCAUUGGAUUUACUCAUACAAUUGCAUAAAAAGUAGAACUGUAUGAGAAUGCACCUGGUAACCUAUGAACAUUGAGCCUGCACUCGACUCUUCGUCACUUUAGCCUUGAGAGGAGCAGAAGCAAGGCGAUCUCUUUUCUACUGAACCAGGUGAGCACCAAAAAUCGCACAAAACAUCUUUUAGCAGUUUACAAUAAUUUUUCAAACAUUCAUCAUUUGACAAUGAAAAUCAGUACGUAAUUUUAGCUUUGUAACUAUAAAGUUUACGUUCUCAAACAGAUACUAGCAUUAGUUAUAAUGACCAUUCUAUUUAGUAUUGAAGUAAGCACUUACAAGUUUUGACGUAACCAACCAAAUUACCUUGUCUAAGAACAAAUGUUGUUUACACCAGUCGAACGUGUGCAACUCAUUUGAUGCUCCGUUUUUUAAAAUUUUUAAAUUUUUAAAUUUUGUUUUAUUUUAUUUGAUCUGCGGUAUUAUACCGGCCACUUUAUUUAUGUCAAUGUUUUGCUCUGGAUUUUAUUCGAUAUGUAUGUAAGUAACUUCUAUCUCAGUCCUUUCUGAAUAAUGCACAACCUUGGUAGUUGAGAGUGUAUUUUCUCCCUUGUAGCUUACAGUAUAUGUCAUGUUGAUAUAAAAACAAGACUGAAGUUACAAGAUAUGAAUUGAUUUUUGUAUUUUGUUCUCUAGGUCUGGACAUGCAAAGAAUUGGAGAGUUAUUUGGUAUCUGGUAAACUUAAUAUUGAAGUUUUUGAAUGGACUUUUAUGUGUGUAUAGUCAUAAUUUACAUUUAUGAGUAACAUUUAUAUGAUAUUUGAGUGCCAUUGUGUUAUAAAUGUUCAGUUUGCAAAAAGGCCUCAAUUGUUUCAUUCUUCUUUUUUUUUUACUUGUAAUAGAUAGAAGUUUGUUACUCUAAAACUGUGCUUACUGUGGUUAGUUAUACGGUAUGGACACUGCAAUUUAAUAUACAACAUACAAACAAUUACUGUAAUUAAUUUGACAAUACAGCACAUACUAUAAAUCAUUAUACAAUAUGCUGUAAACUACUGUUGAUAGUUUAACAGUAAUUUUACUGUGGUAUGGAAUGCAGCAGCUUGCUGGCUAUUUGUUGCCAGUAAGUUACUGUUGAUUUUAUGUCAAUUAUUUUACAAUGUAAACCUUAAACCUAAACCUAACUGAAAGUGUCAUAAAAAGCAAAUGUGAGAUGAAAAACACAAUUGCUGAAGCAACUACGUCUUUCAGAGGUGCUUCUAUGACACUUUUGGCUCACGUGUUGACUCAGGUUCACAGGUGUUCAGGAUUUGUUUCUUGGUCCUUUGCAUAGCAAGUGCAAUCAGUGUAAGUUACAUCAGUUGAGCGACCCCACAAUUUGAUUAUGUAAUACAAAUGUUGAAAUGUAUAAAUGUAAGUCAUGCACUAUAGUAAAGGUGUUAAUAUGUCAUAGCAUAGCAUUGUGUAAGAAACAAGGUGAAAAUUAAGUAGGUAUUUACGAACUGUAAUAAUCUGCUGUUUAUCUUGUGAUUUAUAUGAAAGGAAAUUAAUGUCAUUGUUGUUGUAGACCCUCUAGUGUUCAUUCACCACAAAAGGGCAGUGAUACGUACAACGAGUCAUUUAGCAAAAAUGUAGGUAUAGUAAUGUGAUUCUAUGAGACCAGGUUGAGACAUGUCUUGAUUCCGCUGUACUUUCUUCUUCAGUGACAGGGAGGACUGUCUACGUAGUGCCAGUGAGAGGUCUAAAAACCACGUCAGUCCAUGCGAGCGCAAAACACACACACAUAGACACACUAACACAACAGGAAACUUCAGCAGUCACAGUGAAAACCACCAGAUAAGAAGGACAAGUGGACCCCUGCCGUCAGCUCAGCUCCAAGACAAUGCACGUCUUCUGGAAAGACAUGUGUCUGUAUUUCUUAACAAACAAGCAGACACCAGUAGGUAUGGGCAGGGUCGAUCGACUGUCAGUCUGCCCUUGAAAAUGUUACAGAAAUAUGCUUCAAGUACACAUUUCUUUACUUGAGAUCCAGAAAAUUAUAGUCACUUCUUUGACUUUUUGUCUGUCAUCUCAUUAAAUAUUAUUUCAGCUUUUUUGUUGUUUUAUUUUUAUUUCUUUAGGCUUGGGGGGAGUGGGCAUAAGUUCUACAUGAGAACGCCUUUUCUUUGUCAUCUUUGGCUUCACUUUGAAUGUCACUGGUUCCUCAAGAUUGACAGAAUAAUAUGCACUCAUCAUGUUGCAGAUGCAAAAAAAGAAAAAAAAAGAAAAAGAAAAACUGUGAACACUGGGUACAUUUUUGGGGGUAUUUGCUUCUUUUUAAUCAGUGGAGAAAGACUGACAUGUCCAAUCAUAAUAACACAUCAACUGCUAAAUGGGCCUUUGCAAUCACUGUCAGUUCCAUUUCAUUAGGGAGUCCUGUAUGUAUGGACAUCAAUCAGCUUUUUGUGCCAUUUAUUUAUUUAUAAUUUUAUAAUUUAACUGUUUAUCUAUUUAUUCAUUCUAAACAAUUGAAUUCUGCACUUUGACUAUGCCCUUGUCUAAUCAAACAUCCCAGCACUACUAAUUACUUGUGUACAGGUUCUCAUUUUGUAACAACGGAGUUUUUGCACUUGGAGUACAGUUGUUUAAAAACUAACAUUUCUAAAAUGACUCUCUGUGAAAGACUUCCUUAUGAGAAAAUGAAAGCUAAGUCAUUCUACUGUAAAAGGUUGCAGAUUUCAUCCAAGAAGUGGAAUAUAAUGUUGGAUAUAAACAGAAAUGUAUAGCCUCUAAUUUUAUAUUUCAAAUUUGUAUGUUUUGCUGUGGCAAAGCCCUCUGAUAGACUAGUAAC
Long non-coding RNA from Myxocyprinus asiaticus (Chinese sucker), 6069 nucleotides. RefSeq lists it as uncharacterized. NCBI's taxonomy places the organism in Eukaryota, Metazoa, Chordata, Actinopteri, Cypriniformes, Catostomidae. The record is from RefSeq and is a predicted model, not a curated record. The transcript is spliced from 4 exons.